AUACAGAGGUGGCGAGCGUUGUUCGGAUUUACUGGGCGUAAAGGGCGCGUAGGCGGCGCCGCGUGUCGGGUGUGAAAUCCAUGGGCCCAACCCAUGAAGUGCGCCCGAAACUGCGGUGCUUGAGUGCGGGAGGGGAGGUCGGAAUGCAGGGUGUAGCGGUGAAAUGCGUUGAUAUCCUGCAGAACACCGGUGGCGAAGGCGGACCUCUGGAACGCAACUGACGCUGAGGCGCGAAAGUCGGGGGAGCAAACAGGAUUAGAUACCCUGGUAGUCCCGACCCUAAACGGUGUGCACUUGGGGUGGGGGGAUUUCACCCCCCCCGUCCCGGAGCUAACGCGUUAAGUGCACCGCCUGGGGAGUACGGCCGCAAGGUUAAA
RNAcentral lists this ribosomal RNA (377 nucleotides) under uncultured bacterium. RNAcentral describes it as "bacterial SSU rRNA". It matches the Rfam family "Bacterial small subunit ribosomal RNA", at positions 523 to 898 of the family's 1533-position model. The record is from RNAcentral.